ACCGUGGUAAUUCUAGAGCUAAUACAUGCUGAAAAUCCCGACUUCGGAAGGGAUGUAUUUAUUAGAUUAAAAACCAAUGCCUCUGGGCUUGCUGGUGAUUCAUGAUAACUGCGCGAAUCGCACGGCCUUGCGCCGGCGAUGGUUCAUUCAAAUCUCUUCCCUAUCAACUUUCGAUGCGAUGAUCUGGUCAUCGCAUGGUUACAACGGGUCGGAGGGUUGGCUUGACCCCGGAGAAGGAGCCUGAGAGACGCUACUACAUCCAAGGAAGGCAGCAGGCGCGCAAAUUACCCAAUCCCGACACGGGGAGGUGACAAUAAAUACUGAUACAGGGCUCUUUUGGGUCUUGUAAUUGGAAUGAGUACAAUUUAAAUCCCUUCGAGGAACAAUUGGAGGGCAAGUCUGGUCCAGCAGCCGCGGUAAUUCCAGCUCCAAUAGCGUAUAUUAAAGUUGUUGUGGUUAAAAAGCUCGUAGUUGAACCUUGGGCCUGGCUGGCCGGUCCCCCUCACCGGGUGCACUGAUCCAGCCGGGCCUUUCCCUCUACGGAACCCAUGGCCUUCACUGGCCGUGGCGGGGAAGUAGGACUUUUACUUUGAAAAAAUUAGAGUGCUCCAGGCAGGCCUAUGCUCGAAUACAUUAGCAUGGAAUAAUAGAAUAGGACGCGUGGUUCUAUUUUGUUGGUUUCUAGGACCGCCGUAAUGCUUAAUAGGGACAGUCGGGGGCAUCAGAUUCAAUUGUCAGAGGUGAAAUUCUUGGAUCUAUUGAAGACUAACUACUGCGAAAGCAUUUGCCAAGGAUGUUUUCAUUGAUCAGGAACGAAAGUUAGGGGAUCGAAAACGAUCAGAUACCGUUGUAGUCUUAACUAUAAACUAUGCCGACUAGGGAUCGGACGAUGUUAUUACUUGACUCGUUCGGCACCUUUCGAGAAAUCAAAGUGCUUGGGCUCCAGGGGAGUAUGGUCGCAAGGCUGAAACUUAAAGGAAUUGACGGAAGA
Molecule: ribosomal RNA, 991 nt
Filed under: Corollospora maritima
Lineage: Eukaryota; Fungi; Ascomycota; Sordariomycetes; Microascales; Halosphaeriaceae
Description: SSU rRNA
Rfam family: Eukaryotic small subunit ribosomal RNA
Source: RNAcentral